AAGACCUCGCGUUAAUGGAGCGGCCGAUGCCGGAUUAGCUAGUUGGUGAGGUAAAGGCUCACCAAGGCGACGAUCCGUAGCUGGUCUGAGAGGACGACCAGCCACACUGGAACUGAGACACGGUCCAGACUCCUACGGGAGGCAGCAGUGGGGAAUUUUGGACAAUGGGGGAAAGCCUGAUCCAGCCAUUCCGCGUGAGUGAAGAAGGCCUUCGGGUUGUAAAGCUCUUUCGCAAGGAAAGAAAACUUAUCUCCUAAUACGAGGUGAGGAUGACGGUACCUUGAUAAGAAGCACCGGCUAACUACGUGCCAGCAGCCGCGGUAAUACGUAGGGUGCGAGCGUUAAUCGGAAUUACUGGGCGUAAAGCGUGCGCAGGCGGUUUUGUAAGUCAGAUGUGAAAUCCCCGGGCUCAACCUGGGAACU
This 423-nucleotide ribosomal RNA is filed under the name uncultured bacterium. Its description in RNAcentral is "bacterial SSU rRNA". It matches the Rfam family "Bacterial small subunit ribosomal RNA", at positions 202 to 622 of the family's 1533-position model. The record is from RNAcentral.